This is a long non-coding RNA of Gossypium raimondii (Peruvian cotton), 588 nucleotides long. RefSeq lists it as uncharacterized. NCBI's taxonomy places the organism in Eukaryota, Viridiplantae, Streptophyta, Magnoliopsida, Malvales, Malvaceae. The record is from RefSeq and is a predicted model, not a curated record. The transcript is spliced from 2 exons.
CAUUUAUUUUAAAAAACUGAGUUCUCUCUCUCCCUCCUUUCUCCCUCAAUCUCAGCCCUUAAGUUCAAGCCUCCACCGCCGCCUCCAUGGCCAGUGGCCGGAGUUGCGCGAAACGGACUUCUCAGCCCUCCUUUCACGGCUUCCCUGAAGGCUAAGCCUUCUCAACCGCGGGACCGAGAGAAAAAAGGAAGAGACUCCCCCUCCCCGCUCGACUCUGGUGAUGGCGAAGGUGGGUUCCGGCCGGCCCUCGAAACAAAUAGGCAUUUAAUGGGCAUGGUGGUGGGUCGGUGGCAGAGAGUUGAGGUGACAGAAGCAGGUGGUGGCGUGCGGCGCUGGAGCAGGUGGCGACCAGGAGUAGGUGCGGCGCUAGGGUCCCUAGUCUGACUUGGACUUGCCUAUUGGGCUUGGGGGUAAUUUGGGUUUAGGGUCAGGUUUAGUUUUUCCUGGGCUUGUUGGGCUAAGUUUGUAAUUGGGUCUGAUUUUAGGUUAGUGGGCCUGGUUUGAUUUGGUAAGGCCCGGGCUAAAUUUGGGCUGUACAGUUAUAAGUCAAUUUGAUCCAUAAGUAAUAUCGGGAAAACUCAAAAAAGA